Polypterus senegalus (gray bichir) is the source of this 1178-nucleotide long non-coding RNA. RefSeq lists it as uncharacterized. NCBI's taxonomy places the organism in Eukaryota, Metazoa, Chordata, Cladistia, Polypteriformes, Polypteridae. The record is from RefSeq and is a predicted model, not a curated record. The transcript has 5 exons.
UUUUAGAGUGUUCUGGAAAAGUAAGAAUUGAUUAAGAUUUCAUCAGAAGGAGGAAAAACAUGGAUCUGGAAAACCCACGGAUGAAGAGAACAAGGUCCAGUUUGAAAGCGAUUAAGUAGCGGGAAUGUAACUGCACAGUCAGCGCUGGUCGCUUGAGCAAAUUUUCUGCAUAAAGACGGCUUCACGGAAGACCUCGAGAUAUCCCACCUCCAUAGUUAGGUGCUUUGGUCAGAUUCCGCUGAGCCAAUCAUUAUUUCGUAUAGCGCCUUGAAAUACUGCCAUUCAUCCCACUGGAAUACAGGGUGCUGAACUCAAGGCUGGCACGUUGGUCACUUCCCAACUCUAAACUGGCACAGCAUGACCGAGUGUUGAUGAGUAUAUGGCAACCAAUGUUCUGGCACCUUCUCCAGUGUUGAUUUCUGUCUUGCACUCAAUGCUGCUGGGAUAGGCUGCAGCUCCAAUGGGCCUGAAGAAGACUGAGCAAGUUUGAAAAUGAAAGGGGGUUCUAAAUUAUUUCGGGUGGCACAAUCAGUAAGGUCUCAUGAACAUCAUUUGAAAGUCAGACUGUGCACUGUAAGAUGGUGAUGUAGUGCUCUGAAUUUCCAGUAGGUGGUACCAUUAUUAAAGUAACGAAAAACCAAAAAAGUCAACUUAUUUUCCUUUAAUGAGAUGGCUUAUUCAGCCGUGCUGGGAAUACGCCUGGUGAGUGCAAUCGACUCCACCCCUUCCAGUGCCUCCACUACAUAUCCAUCCCGAGGCUCCCAGAAGAAGGCAAAACUCAUUACAAGAACACACUGCAGGAUGGAGUUCCUUCCCAAAAUGAUGUUAGCAGGCAUUGUUAGCCAAGAAAGAUUUGUGAAUCAAGGACUCUGAUAUUUGCUUGUUUUGGUGCCAUCAAGCACAUCUUUUGUUUUUUUCCGUUUGCAUCAAUUAAACGGUGGACAACCAUGUUAGCACCCCAAUGUUUUAGCGUUCGUUCCAUCAACCACAGAGUCUAUGUCUAAUCUGCUCUGUGUUAAUGGACAUGCUUGGGUUUAAUUUCAUCCAUAUAAUCCAGACCUGCUUUAUCUAGUUUCAGUUGGGGGAUCCAACCCUAUUAUGACAACAUAAGGUGUAAGUCAUGACUCAGCUCAGGAUGGACUACCGGGCUGUCACAGCCCACAUUCUCUUACAGUUAA